This 630-nucleotide long non-coding RNA is filed under the name Mytilus galloprovincialis (Mediterranean mussel). The record is from RNAcentral. Lineage: Eukaryota; Metazoa; Mollusca; Bivalvia; Mytilida; Mytilidae.
UUGGAUGAAUAUAGUCCAGUAAAGAGACAAUUAGAAACUAAACAUUUGCUAGAAGCAGAAAUAAUCCAGGAACUUCCUUCAAAUGAAACAACUGUGAUAAAUAUCUACUGCUUUCGGUUUUAAAUGCCUUUUUAUUGUGACUUUUGCAAAGAUUCCAAUUACAUUCUAAUGAUGUAGUAUGAACAUUUUUGCUUCAAAGUGAAUAAAUUGUUUUUAAGAAUGUAUUUCGUUGCUAGAAUGCUGUUUUGACCACGAACGUGUUGCAUCACACAGUUCUUUGGAAUUGUCUUAUAUAACUAACUUUAAACUCUCACACUCUGAUGAAUACAGUUAUGACACUACACAUACUAAUGUGUUAAUAUCCGUUGCUAAAAAAAAGAAAUUCUUUUGAAUUGGUUUCACUUUUCAAAUAAUUUUCCCAAUAAUCUGAAUGUAAACUUGUAUGCAUGUAAAAACAUUAUUUUACAUCGACUUGGUUCGUGAUGAUUAAAUAUGCACAGUGGAACUGUAAGUUAUCGCUCAAAAUAUACAGAAUUUGAAUUUGACAUGUACAAUUCUAUCUCUCAUGAUGUAUAUCUUCGUGUGCAUAUGACGAUUAUGUAGAUUCAAAUUAUUGUAUAUUUCAACCGC